CACGAAGUUAGCCGGGGCUUCUUCUGUGGGUACCGUCAUUAUCGUCCCCACUGAAAGAAUUUUACAAUCCUAAGACCUUCAUCAUUCACGCGGCAUGGCUGCGUCAGGCUUUCGCCCAUUGCGCAAGAUUCCCCACUGCUGCCUCCCGUAGGAGUCUGGGCCGUGUCUCAGUCCCAGUGUGGCUGAUCAUCCUCUCAGACCAGCUACUGAUCGUAGCCUCGGUGAGCCUUUACCUCACCAACUAGCUAAUCAGACGCGGGCCGCUCUAAUGGCGAUAAAUCUUUCCCCCGAAGGGCACAUCCGGUAUUAGCUCAAGUUUCCCUGAGUUGUUCCGAACCAAAGGCACGUUCCCACGUGUUACUCACCCGUCUGCCACUGAUCCCGAAGGAUCCGUUCGACUUGCAUGUGUUAAGCCUGCCGCCAGCGUUCGCUCUGAGCCAGGAUCAAACUCU
RNAcentral lists this ribosomal RNA (452 nucleotides) under uncultured Caulobacter sp. Its description in RNAcentral is "partial 16S ribosomal RNA". The record is from RNAcentral. Lineage: Bacteria; Pseudomonadati; Pseudomonadota; Alphaproteobacteria; Caulobacterales; Caulobacteraceae.